This 58-nucleotide transfer RNA is filed under the name Salmo salar (Atlantic salmon). It matches the Rfam family "tRNA", at positions 8 to 63 of the family's 71-position model. From Rfam's summary of the family: Transfer RNA (tRNA) molecules are approximately 80 nucleotides in length. Their secondary structure includes four short double-helical elements and three loops (D, anti-codon, and T loops). The record is from Rfam by way of RNAcentral. Lineage: Eukaryota; Metazoa; Chordata; Actinopteri; Salmoniformes; Salmonidae.
UGGCCCAGUUGGUAGAGCAUGGUGUUUGCAAUGCCAGCGUUGUGGGUUCGAUUCCCAC